AGAGUUUGAUCCUGGCUCAGAUUGAACGCUGGCGGCAUGCCUAACACAUGCAAGUCGAACGGAAACGAUGCUAGCUUGCUAGCAGGCGUCGAGUGGCGGACGGGUGAGUAAUAUAUAGGGAUCUGCCUAAUAGUGGGGGACAACGUGUGGAAACGCACGCUAAUACCGCAUACGCUCUACGGAGGAAAGUGGGGGAUCUUCGGACCUCAUGCUAUUAGAUGAACCUAUAUCGGAUUAGCUUGUUGGUGAGGUAAUGGCUCACCAAGGCGACGAUCCGUAGCUGGUUUGAGAGAAUGAUCAGCCACACUGGGACUGAGACACGGCCCAGACUCCUACGGGAGGCAGCAGUGGGGAAUAUUGCACAAUGGACGAAAGUCUGAUGCAGCAAUGCCGCGUGUGUGAAGAAGGCCUUCGGGUUGUAAAGCACUUUCAGAUGUGAGGAAAAGCAACCUAUUAAUACUAGGUUGCCGUGACGUUAACAUCAGAAGAAGGACCGGCUAACUCCGUGCCAGCAGCCGCGGUAAUACGGAGGGUCCAAGCGUUAAUCGGAAUUACUGGGCGUAAAGCGCGCGUAGGCGGAUAAUUAAGUCAGAUGUGAAAUCCCUGGGCUCAACCUAGGAACUGCAUUUGAUACUGGUUAUCUAGAGUAUGGUAGAGGUGAGUGGAAUUUCAGGUGUAGCGGUGAAAUGCGUAGAGAUCUGAAGGAACAUCAGUGGCGAAGGCGACUUACUGGGCCAUUACUGACGCUGAGGUGCGAAAGCGUGGGUAGCAAACAGGAUUAGAUACCCUGGUAGUCCACGCCCUAAACGAUGUCAACUAGGUGUGUGAGAGUCUAACUCUUGCGUAUCGAAGCUAACGCGAUAAGUUGACCGCCUGGGGAGUACGGUCGCAAGACUAAAACUCAAAUGAAUUGACGGGGGCCCGCACAAGCGGUGGAGCAUGUGGUUUAAUUCGAUGCAACGCGAAGAACCUUACCUGGCCUUGACAUGUAGUGAACUUACCAGAGAUGGUAUGGUGCCUUCGGGAACCACUAACAACAGGUGCUGCAUGGCCUGUCGUCAGCUCGUGUCGUGAGAUGUUGGGUUAAGUCCCGCAACGAGCGCAACCCCUGUCCUUAGUUGCCAUCAUUUAGUUGGGCACUCUAAGGAGACUGCCGGCGACAAACCGGAGGAAGGUGGGGAUGACGUCAAGUCAUCAUGGCCCUUAUGGCCAGGGCUACACACGUGCUACAAUGGCUAGUACAAAGGGUUGCCAACUCGCGAGAGUGAGCUAAUCCCAUAAAGCUAGUCGUAGUCCGGAUUGGAGUCUGCAACUCGACUCCAUGAAGUCGGAAUCGCUAGUAAUCGCGGAUCAGAAUGCCGCGGUGAAUACGUUCCCGGGCCUUGUACACACCGCCCGUCACACCAUGGGAGUGGGUUGCAAAAGAAGUGGGUAGACUAACCUUCGGGAGGUCGCUCACCACUUUGUGAUUCAUGACUGGGGUGAAGUCGUAACAAGGUAACC
Molecule: ribosomal RNA, 1503 nt
Filed under: uncultured bacterium
Lineage: Bacteria
Description: bacterial SSU rRNA
Rfam family: Bacterial small subunit ribosomal RNA
Source: RNAcentral